Molecule: ribosomal RNA, 491 nt
Filed under: uncultured bacterium
Lineage: Bacteria
Description: bacterial SSU rRNA
Rfam family: Bacterial small subunit ribosomal RNA
Source: RNAcentral
CAGGAUGAACGCUGGCGGCGUGCUUAACACAUGCAAGUCGAACGGAGUUUUAAACCGAAGUUUCGGAUGGAAGUUUAGAAACUUAGUGGCGGACGGGUGAGUAACGCGUGGGUAACCUGCCUCAUACAGGGGGAUAACAGUUAGAAAUGACUGCUAACACCGCAUAAUAUAGCGAAACCGCAUGAUUUUGCUAUCAAAUAUUUAUAGGUAUGAGAUGGGCCCGCGUCUGAUUAGCUAGUUGGUGGGGUAAAAGCCUACCAAGGCGACGAUCAGUAGCCGGCUUGAGAGAGUGACCGGCCACAUUGGGACUGAGACACGGCCCAAACUCCUACGGGAGGCAGCAGUGGGGAAUAUUGGACAAUGGGGGAAACCCUGAUCCAGCGACGCCCGCGUGAGUGAAGAAGUAUUUCGGUAUGUAAAGCUCUAUCAGCAGGGAAGAUAAUGACAGUACCUGACUAAGAAGCCCCGGCUAACUACGUGCCAGCAGCAGC